Molecule: ribosomal RNA, 588 nt
Filed under: uncultured bacterium
Lineage: Bacteria
Description: bacterial SSU rRNA
Rfam family: Bacterial small subunit ribosomal RNA
Source: RNAcentral
UUUAAUUCGAUGCAACGCGAAGAACCUUACCUGGCCUUGACAUCCACGGAAUUCUGCAGAGAUGCGGGAGUGCCUUCGGGAACCGUGAGACAGGUGCUGCAUGGCUGUCGUCAGCUCGUGUCGUGAGAUGUUGGGUUAAGUCCCGCAACGAGCGCAACCCUCGUCCUUAGUUGCCAUCAUUUAGUUGGGAACUCUAAGGAGACCGCCGGUGACAAACCGGAGGAAGGUGGGGAUGACGUCAAGUCAUCAUGGCCUUUAUGGCCAGGGCUACACACGUGCUACAAUGGCAGGUACAGAGGGAAGCCAACGCGCGAGCGGGAGCCAAUCCCAGAAAGCCUGUCGUAGUCCGGAUCGGAGUCUGCAACUCGACUCCGUGAAGUCGGAAUCGCUAGUAAUCGCAGAUCAGCAUUGCUGCGGUGAAUACGUUCCCGGGUCUUGUACACACCGCCCGUCACACCAUGGGAGUUGAUUGCACCAGAAGCAGGUAGCCUAACCGCAAGGGUGGCGCCUACCACGGUGUGGUCAAUGACUGGGGUGAAGUCGUAACAAGGUAGCCGUACGGGAACGUGCGGCUGGAUCACCUCCUUA